AUACGGAGGAUGCGAGCGUUAUCCGGAUUUAUUGGGUUUAAAGGGAGCGUAGGCGGACUAUUAAGUCAGCUGUGAAAGUUUGCGGCUCAACCGUAAAAUUGCAGUUGAUACUGGUCGUCUUGAGUGCAGUAGAGGUAGGCGGAAUUCGUGGUGUAGCGGUGAAAUGCUUAGAUAUCACGAAGAACUCCGAUUGCGAAGGCAGCUUACUGGACUGUAACUGACGCUGAUGCUCGAAAGUGUGGGUAUCAAACAGGAUUAGAUACCCUGGUAGUCCGCACAGUAAACGAUGAAUACUCGCUGUUUGCGAUACACUGUAAGCGGCCAAGCGAAAGCGUUAAGUAUUCCACCUGGGGAGUAUGCCGGCAACGGUGAAACUCAAAGGAAUUGACGGGG
This 393-nucleotide ribosomal RNA is filed under the name uncultured bacterium. Its description in RNAcentral is "partial 16S ribosomal RNA". It matches the Rfam family "Bacterial small subunit ribosomal RNA", at positions 523 to 918 of the family's 1533-position model. The record is from RNAcentral.